GAUGAACGCUGGCGGCGUGCCUAAUACAUGCAAGUCGAGCGAACAGACGAGGAGCUUGCUCCUCUGACGUUAGCGGCGGACGGGUGAGUAACACGUGGAUAACCUACCUAUAAGACUGGGAUAACUUCGGGAAACCGGAGCUAAUACCGGAUAACAUGUUGAACCGCAUGGUUCAACAGUGAAAGACGGUCUUGCUGUCACUUAUAGAUGGAUCCGCGCCGCAUUAGCUAGUUGGUAAGGUAACGGCUUACCAAGGCAACGAUGCGUAGCCGACCUGAGAGAGUGAUCGGCCACACUGGAACGGGGACACGGUCCAGACUACUACGGGAGGCAGCAGAAGGGAAUCUUCCGCAAUGGGCGAGAGCCUGACGGAGCAGCGCCGCGUGAGUGAAGAAGGUCUUCGGAUCGUAAAACUCUGUUAUUAGGGAAGAACAAAUGUGUAAGUAACUAUGCACGUCUUGACGGUAACUAGUCAGAAAGCCACGGCUAACUACGUG
This 497-nucleotide ribosomal RNA is filed under the name uncultured bacterium. RNAcentral describes it as "partial 16S ribosomal RNA". It matches the Rfam family "Bacterial small subunit ribosomal RNA", at positions 28 to 507 of the family's 1533-position model. The record is from RNAcentral.